Oryza sativa Japonica Group (Japanese rice) is the source of this 14545-nucleotide non-coding RNA. Lineage: Eukaryota; Viridiplantae; Streptophyta; Magnoliopsida; Poales; Poaceae. The record is from RefSeq and is a predicted model, not a curated record.
UGUUUCUUAUGUCUAUGUCAGGUUCUAAAUAAUUUUGUGUUCAAGAAGGAUGUCUCAACACAAUGAUGCCCACAUGCUCUGUCAAUCAUGGUGUGUAGGAGUGCGAACAAAAAAUGCAGAUAGCCUGCAAGUUGUGAUCUGAAACAAGGCACUGCAUGCUCAGCUUUGCUCGUGACAAUGGUCGAGCAAAAGUUUCAUGCCCUCUGGUGCCAAGAUUUUUCCUCGCAUUGCCGUGACGACAAAAGAUUAUUAGUGCGUUCUCUACUGACAUGGCAACGUGGAUCAUUCCUACUGCCGUUCAGUGGCCCUCUGAGCUUAUACGGGGUUGUACUGGUAGCAGCUUCUGAUACUAAACUUGCAUCGUUAGCAUUGCUUUUUUGCUCUCGUAACUGUCUCUGCUUCCCCUUUGAUGAGCAGAGCAAGGAAUGAAUAAAGUGGCAGUUCAGCUGCAUAUGACAGUGGAGCGCUUUUACCCUUCCCCUCCAGAUGCAUUUUUUUUAUCACCUUCUACUCCAUGGAGGCACUAUGCUUGUUGAAGUGUGCAAGUUCUGCUUGAGCUACUCAACAUAAUUUAAUGCACUAGUUCUAUGUGCUAUUAAGGGGGUGGAGAAAAUGAUUUGUGGGUGUUAUAUAACCUUGUCAAGGCCAAAUAGCCAAUUGCUCGGUUUCUAGUUUUUACCCAGAUCUCUAACAAAAUAUGCGGUAAUGGAUUACCGGCAAAUAAUGAACCGAAAAUUGUUAUUACACAAGCAGUAACUUCUGUUUGCAGUCUUACAAGUAAUGUAGCACUGCCAAAUUAACAUGCAUGUUUACCAAUGCCAAAUUGCAGUUAGCUGCAAGGAAUUCCAUGUAUGAGGCGUUUACAGAGCAGGAAAAAGGAAGCACAUAAUCCUCCGCAUGUUGGAUGCUCUGUAUAGUUUGCUGUACAAUUUUGUCUAUAAAUAGUUAGGUUCACUAUGUUGAAAACAUGCAAUUCCUGGAAUGCCUGCUAGAAUUUUUUUUAUUCAGAAGAGAGAUCCAUAGGUUGUAGGUCAACCAAUCUCAGUAAUCUGAUUUUUGUUUACCAUAGCCUUUUCUCUUUCCCCCCUUUAUCUACUCUCUUUUUAUUUAACCAGCCAUUUUGGUCUCUUAUACUUAUUGCCCAUCCUUAAGUUUUCUACUUUAGGCAUCUUUUCUUUGCUUGGUCCAAGAGGAAGGGAACCUAUUCUAUUUGAGGGUGGAGUUAAUACAUUUGAUUUCACAUUGUUUCAGCAUUGGCAGCAUAGGCUCUUGCCCUCAUGGCAGGGCUUGGCACCGGAGCGCCUAUUGUGAAGGUGUAUCAUGAGAAAUCUAUGAUCUUACCUGAUGUUUCAAGGGUGCUCACAUGCCUCUAUGAGAAGGAUGUCAAGUUUGAGCCUUGCACAACCUCUUACAAGAGCCUACUUAGACUCCAGGCAUCAACCCAUGCUCCAGUUCCAUUCUAUGAUGGACCUACAUUUCUGGAAGAAUCCAGAGAAAUCUGCCGCUACAUUGCAGAAACUUAUGAACAUCAUGGGUAUCCAUUUCUCCUUGGGAAGGAUGCCCUCGAGAGGGCUUCCAUCGAGCAAUGGCUCCACCAUGAGGAGCAUGCUUUCAACCCUCCAAGCCGAGCCUUAUUCUGCCACCUGGCCUUUCCCUUGGAUCAAGAAGAUGAUCUAGAGAUGCAGAAGGCAAAGCUGGAUGAGGUUCUGGAAGUUUAUGAGCAAAGGCUCAGUGAUAGUGAAUUCCUUGCCGGCAAUAAAUUUACUCUUGCAGACCUCGUACACCUGCCAAACUCCCACUACAUCAAAGCAUCUGGCAAGUUUGCCUACCUCUAUGACUCAAGGAAGAAUGUGCAGAGGUGGUGGAAUGCUAUUUCUACCCGGCAUUCUUGGGAUCAGGUACUGAGUUAUAUGACAAAGGUGGAGCAGGACAACAAAUUAGAGGAACUUGAGAAACAGAAGCAGCAGGAGUGGCAGAGAGAGUAUCAUACAGCCACUGGACGCAGAACUCGACUGUACUCACGGAAGCAUACCCGCACAAAGUCUCAGACAAUAUUGGUUCCUCCUCCUGAUACUGUCUCAGCGUCUCCCACGGCUCCUCAGGGAGAGCAGCCUCCUCCUGCUGAUUCUUUAUCUGAGAAGGCAUCAGUAUUCUCAAGCCAAAGUACUACUCAUAAAUCUAUAGCUUCCCCAAGCAAAAAAAAUACCUCAUCUACCCCAAGCUUGGGUAACUUCCCUAGCACAGCUGAUAAACCUCCAAGAAUUCAUGCUGAUAUGUCUAGCAUUAGAGAUGUCUCAGUCCCCCCUGACACCACUGAGACAGAGCACCCCACUAGAUCCAUGCUAAGUUCAUCCAAGGAAGUAGGAACCUAUAUUGAACCUACCCCACAAAAGCCUCCAGCAUCGCUGGAUAAUUUCUCUGAAUCUGAUGGGCCUAUCAGUGGUGCUAGUCAUUCUCAAAUCAGUCCAAGAACAGCCAAAGAAGAUUCUGACCGACUCCAUGCAUCUGAUUUGUAUAGAAGUGACAGAAAAUCUACUGGUCACAGUUAUGAAGCUACUUAUGGCAAAUCUCCCACCCGGGGAGCUACAGACAGUUCUCCCAACAAGCUCCACUCUACUGAAGCACACCAGAUGCUGCAGGCUGAGAAGUGGCACGCUGUUCAAGCUGGAUUGCGCAAUCUACAGGGAGAUAUUGAUAAUUCAGUGCCUAGUCGACAAGUAAAACCAAGCAAAGAAGUGCAACAGUAUCCAUCACAAGAUUCAGAGCAAGUAAGCAUCCGUCCUGUUGCUCAAGAACCAUUGAGUAUGGACGGCCAACUGGUUCAAGGGCCAGAAGGUACAGCUCAAACACCCCAUACUGAUCAGACAAUGGGUGUUUCUUCUCCGCAUUGGCAACAUGCUGCUGAUGCUAGAAGAAUUUCUGAGGAUGAGGCAUCAUCUGAUCGAAGGAUAAAAGGUGCUCAUUGGUCAAAGCAUGCAGCAGAUGAAGAUGCCCAAGCUAUACCAUUCCAAACAGCACGCGAUGAUUCUCAAGAUACCACCCAGAGAGCAAGAGAAACUGAUUCUGUGACAAGGAGUACAAGGGAUCAAGAUGCACAUGAUAGCAGACAAGGAAUAAUGACUUAUGACUCUGCACCAUCUAGAUUGCAACCUAUGGAUGCUUCACACGAUGCUCCUCUGCCAUCAAAGAAAUCAACAUCUCAAACUCCUUACACAGCCGCACAUAUUCCUACAGGGUACCAAGGUGCUCAAGAGUUCAUCCAGCAAGGUAGGGAGAGACCUAAACCAAGGUCAGUAGUGCCUUAUGAUGCCCAAGGCAGCACUGAAGAAGAAAAAAUGGCUGAAUCUCCACCAUCCAAAGCACAAAUAUUGGGUUCUCGUGGACUCGAUGUUUCUCCACCAAAAGAAGUGUUGAAUGAAGAUGGUUAUGGUGCAACUGGUCCAUUGCAAACAAGAUAUGGAGAUGAUCAAGAUGAUUGGAUUCAAGCUAGAGAUAGCACCACUCCAAGGCAUAUGAAUCAAGAUGCCAUUGAAGAAACAGAGAUGGCUGAUUCUGAACCAUCCAAAGCACGAACAUUAGAUUCUCAACAAGCUUUUCCACAAAAGCAACCACCAGCUGAAGAUCUACGAUUUGCUGCUUCAACAUCCAAUAGAAGAUAUUUUGAUGAUCAAGAUAGCACCAAGAAAUCUAAACACACUGCUUCAAUUCCAAGGCGAAUGGAGGCUCAAGGCAGCUUAGAAGAAACUAAGGCUGGCGAAUCUGGAUUGCCUAGAGAACAACCAUUUUUGCAAGCACAAGCUAAAGAUGCUCGCAGCCUGACUCCACCAUCACAAGAGGGAUAUGCAGGCCCUCAAGCUGUUAGCAAGCAACGUGGAGACCCUGGUUCUAUAUCAAGGCGAAUAAGAGCCCAAGAUGCUAGAGUCACAUUUGUAGAAUCAAAAGCUGAUGAUUCCACAUUUACCAGAGAGCAGCCUUCGGAUGCUUGGCAAGCUACGGGUCCUCUCCCAGAGCACAAAGUAUAUGAUGCUCAAAGCUCAACCUCACCAUUUCAGGACGCCACCAUGAAAUCAGAAGACACCACUCCACAACAGAGGAGAGGUCAAGGUGCCAAAGAAACGAAGUUGUCUGAUUCUGCAUCGCUACAAGUUCAGCCCUCGGAUUAUCAGAGAAGUGAUUCUCAUUUUCAAAAUCAAGAAGAAAUUGAAGAUCCACAUGGUGCAAUUUCACCACACAAGAGAAGCUACACUGAUGUUGAAGAUAUGACCAAACAUCCUGGAGACAAAAUACUGGGUGAGGAUGCUCAAGAUGUCUCUGAAGAAACAAAGGCUCUUGACUCUACAAUAGUUAGAGGCAGAGCACAUCCCCAGGAUACUCAUCAAGCUGCAAUUCCUCCACGAAGGCAAGCAGCAACCAAAGAUGCUCUGGGUGUGACUCCACAUUUCCCAACAAGAUACCCAACUGCAGAAGACACCAGCAGGCAACUCAGAAGAACUGCUUCUACACCAACAGAGAAAGCUGUUCAAGAUGGUAGAGAUGCCUUCAGAGAAUGGAAGAGUGUUGAUUCCACAUCAUCCAGAGAACAACCUUCAGAUGUUCAGCGAGCUGAGGCUUCCUUCCCAAAGCAAGAAGAAGCUGAUUCUCAUAGCACAACUGUGCCAUUCCAAAGGAGGUACCCCGAUAUUGAAGACACAACCAAAGAACCAAUCGAUAAGCCAAAGGAAAUGGUGGGCGAGGAUGCUCAAGCUGGCUUUGAAGAAACAAAGGCUCUUGACGCUGCGACAGAACCCCGAGAUACUCCGCGAGCUGCAAUUACUCCAUCGAAGCAAGUAAUAGCGAAGGAUGCUCUCAGUGUGACUCCACUUCCCCCAACAAGAUAUCCAACAGCAGAAGACACCAGCAGGCAGCCCAAAAGAACUGGUUCUACACCAACAGAGAAAGCAGUUCAAGAUGGUAGAGAUGCCUUUAGAGAAUCUAAGAGUGUUGAUUCCACAUCAUCGACACAACAACCUUCAGGUUAUCGGCGAGCUGCUGCUUCCCUCCCAAAGCAAGAAGCAGCUGAUUCUCGUAGCACACCUUUGCCCUUCCAAAGGAGGUACCCUGAUGUGGAACACACCACCAAAGAACCAAGAGAUAAGCCAAAAGAAUCAGUGGGCGAGGAUGCCCAAGAUGGCUUUGAUGAAACAAAGGCUCUUGACUCUGCUAUAAUUAGAGGCAGAGCCCAACCACAAGAGACUCCAAGAGCUGCGAUUACUCCAUCGAAGCAGGAAGCAGCCAAAGAUGCUCUCAGUGGGACUCCACUUUCCCCAACAAGAUAUCAAACUGCAGAGGAAACGGUGGGUGAGGAUAGUCAAGAUGGCUUUGAAGAAACAAAAGCUUUUGACUCUGCUAUAUUUAGAGGCAGAGCACAACCGCAAGAUACUCGUCGAUCUGCAAUUACUCCACCAAAGCUGGAAGAGGCCAAAGAUGCUCUAGGUGCAACUCCACAUCCCCCAACAAGAUAUCCAACUGCAGAGGACACCAGCAGGCAACCCACAAGAACUGCUUCUACACCAAUAGAGAAAGCAGUUCCAGAUGGUAGAGAUGCCUUCAGAGAAUUGAAGAUUGUUGAUUCCACAUCAUCCAGAGAGCAACCUUCUGAUGUUCGGCGAGCUGCUGCUUCCCUUCGAAAGCAAGAAGCAGCUGACUCUCAUAGCACAACUGUGCCAUUCCAAAGGAGGUAUCCUGAUAUUGAAGACACCACCAAAGAACCAAGAGAUAAGCCGAAGGAAAAGGUGAGUGAGGAGGCUCAAGAUGGCUUUGAAGAAACAAAGGAUCUUGACUCUUCGAUACUUAGAGGCAGAGCACAAUCCCAAGGUACUCAGCGAGCUGCAAUUACUCCACCGAAGCUGGAUGCAGCCAAAGAUGCUCCCGGUGCGACUCCACUUCCCCCAACAAGAUAUCCAACUGGAGAAGAUGCCAGCAGGCAACCUAGAAGAACUGCUUCUACACCAACCGAGAAAGCAGUUCGCGGUGGCAGAGAUGACUUUACAGAAUCUAAGAGUGUUGAUUCCACACCAUCCAGAGAGCAACCUUCAGAUGUUCGGCGAGCUGCUGCUUCCCUCCCAAAGCAAGAAGCAGCUGAUUCUCGUAGCACACCUUUGCCAUUCCAAAGGAGGUACCCUGAUGUGGAACACACCACCAAAGAACCAAGAGAUAAGCCAAAGGAAUCGGUGGGCGAGGAUGCCCAAGAUAGCUUUGAAGAAACAAAGGCUCUUGACUCUUCGAUGUUUAGAGGCAGAGCACAACCGCAAGAUACUCGUCCAUCUGCAAUUACUCCAUCAAAGCUGGAAGAUGUCAGAGAUGCUCUAGGUGCAACCCCACUUCCCCCGAGAAGAUAUCCAACUGCAGAGGACACCAGCAGGCAACCCACAAGAACUGCUUCUACACCAAUAGAGAAAGCAGUUCCAGAUGGUAGAGAUGCCAUCAGAGAAUUGAAGAUUGUUGAUUCCACAUCAUCCAGAGAGCAACCUUCAGAUGUUCGGCGAGCUCCUGCUUCCCUUCCAAAGCAAGAAGCAGCUGAUUCUUAUAGCACAACAGUGCCAUUCCAAAGGAGCUAUCCUGAUAAUGAAGACACCAAAGAACCAAGAGAUAAGCCAAAGGAAAAGGUGAGCGGGGAGGCUCAAGAUGGCUUUGAUGAAACAAAGGCUCUUGACUCUUCGAUACUUAGAGGCAGAGCACAACCCCAAGAUACUCAGCGAGCUGCAAUUACUCCACCGAAGCUGGAUGCAGCCAAAGAUGCUCCCGGUGCGACUCCACUUCCCCCAACAAGAUAUCCAACUGGAGAAGAUGCCAGCAGGCAACCUAGAAGAACUGCUUCUACACCAACCGAGAAAGCAGUUCGCGGUGGCAGAGAUGACUCUACAGAAUCUAGGAGUGUUGAUUCCACACCAUCCAGAGAGCAACCUUCAGAUGUUCGGCGAGCUGCUGCUUCCCUCCCAAAGCAAGAAGCAGCUGAUUCUCGUAGCACACCUUUGCCAUUCCAAAGGAGGUACCCUGAUACUAGAGACACCACAAAAGAAUCAAGAGAUAAGCUAAAGGAAGCGGUGGGCGAGGAUGGUCAAGAUGGCUUUGAAGAAACAAAAGCUCUUGACUCUGCUAUAAUUGGAGGCAGAGCCCAACCACAAGAGACUCCAAGAGCUGCGGUUACUCCAUCAAAGCUGGAAGGAGCCAAAGAUGCUCUAGGUGUGACUCCAAUUGCCCCAACAAGGUAUCCAACUGCAGAAGACACGAGCAAGCAAUCCACAAGAACUGCUUCUACACCUUCAGAGAAAGCAGUUCCAUAUGGUAGAGAUGCCUUCAUAGAAUCGAAGAGUGUUGAUUCCACAUCAUCCAGAGAGCAACCUUCAGAUGUUCGGCGAGCUGCUGCUUCCCUGCCAAAGCAAGAAGCUGCUGAUUCUCGUAGCACAACUAUGCCAUUCCAAAGGAGGUACCGUGAUAUUGAAGACACCACCAAAGAACCAAGAGAACCAAGAGAUAAGCCAAAGGAAACAGUGGGUCAAGAUGUCCAAGACACCUAUGAAGAAAGAGUAACUACUGACUCUGUGCUGUUUACCAAACAACCUUCUGAUAUGCCCCGAGCUGCAAUCACUCCAUCAAAGAAAGCAGCAAAUGAUGAUGCUCCUAGUGUGUCUCCACCUUUGCCUACAAGAUAUCCAAGUGCUGAAGACACCAGCAAGCAAUCUAUAAGACCUCAAGAUAGUAGGGAUGUCUUUAGAGAACAAAAGGCUGUUGACUCCACAUCAUCCCCUGGACCCUCAGAUUCUCUCAGGGCUUCUGCUUCCCUCCCAAACCAAGAAGUAGAUGGUACUCGCAGAACUACUGUACCAUUUCAAAAGAGAGAGCCUGAACUUCAAAACAGCACAAAGCCUGUUAACGACAGCAUUUCUACGUCAUGGGAAAUGACAGCUCAAGAUACUCAAGACACCUUUGAAGAAACAAAGGUUCCUGAUUCUGCAGCAUUCAGUAUGCCUGAAGUGGAUUCUCAGAGAACUGAUGCAGAGGCUCAAGCAGAAGCUCAAGAUACUCGGGAUGGAGGCAGCCGAAGCAGAUGGUGGCAUGCAUCUAAGACAUUACCAGAUGGAACUCCUAUUUCUGGCGAUGAUGUGACUGGAUUGUCUCCUGGUGAUCAAAUGCCAACACGGAUGGAUCAAGAUGCAAUUCCAAGCACUCAGAUUGCCAAUGGGAUCACCGAAAGAUCUAUUAAGCAAACUGCUGAACCACCUGCACCAGUAGCACCACAAACAAUUUUUCAUCAGCAAGCCAGACCAUCUGCACCAAUCACAAAAGAAGUUCAAGCCUCAGAUAACCAAGGUGCCAUAAGCAAAAUCCAGCAAGUUUCUCCUGAUAAUCAUCCAACUGAUUAUUCAGCCGUACCACGUGUUGCAGCUCAAGAACAAGUUUCCCACGCACCACAGACAAGUCCUGGUCGAGAAGGCAUAACGCCUGCGCAAAGAGAAAUGGAUUCUCCAAUUUCAGAUGCCCUACCUGCUUCAGCAAAAGUUCAAGAACCUGCCCCUGACAAGUCAACAAUGCCAUUUGUCUCGAGUGUAAAACAAGGUUCUCAUGUUGGACAUGAUGUUGAACCACAUGAAGGGCCACUACCCGAUACUUAUGGUGCUGUAGUUGACAAAGAGACAACUAAAUCUCUAUCUUGGCAAGAUCGGAGUUUGGAAGCUAGUCCUGAUUCAACACCAACCCAUGGCUAUGUUCAUCCUACAAGCAGGGAUGAACCUGCCAUUUUACCUGGUCAGGGGGCACCCCAAGAACCAACACAUCCUGAUGCUCUAGAUUCUGCAUCCACCCGAGACGUAACUGCUGAUUCCUUGGUUGGUCCUAAGAAAUUCAAGCAACGUUCAACUGAUCAAGAGGACAUUUCAUUUGCAUCUAACCAAACAUCAGGUAUGGGCGCUCAACCUUAUUCUUCACUGGAUAAAGUAGCCCGUGCUGAACAGAAAUCUGACCUGUCAGAUCAAGAUCCAAGUCAUUCUGCACAAGAGACUGUUCUUGCUGCUGCCGAACGGACCAAGGCACUGCCAAAACCCAUUGAUCAACAAGAGACACCGGACAGUAGAAAGCCUCCAACACCAGAUACCCAAUAUGCUUCGCAGAUAAUCCCAAGUCAGGAGAAAGUUGCUCCUGAUGUUCCAAGCCAAGAGAAAGUUUCCCAGGCUGAACUGUCUUUGAAACCACAUGAAGGAUCAACUCCUCAUAUGCAUGGCAGCAUUGUUGAUGAAAAGAAAACUAGACCUUUGGCUAGCCCAACUAAAAGUUCAAAUGAUGUGCUUGAUCUGACACCAGCAGGUGCUGAUGUUCAUCCUACAAGUAGCACUGAGCCUCCCAGAAGUGCUUUACCAGUUCAAGCACAAACACCAUCUGCUACCCAAACACCUCCACCUUUUGCAUCUCACAAAUCUGUGCGUACUGAAGAUAUACGUGCUGACGCCAAUGGCAAAGUUAAAUCCGUGAAGCCAUCAGCAUCUCCAGAUGCUCCACAUGCUACCGCACCUGGUGAAGUAGCUCUUUCUGAACAGAAAUUAGCUUCAGCAGGUCGAGAUUCGUCUCGUGCUGCACAAUUGCCUUCAUCUGAUGAGCCAAGGAAUGAACAGAUUAAGGAUUCAGAUCACACUGCACAGCCAUUUUCGUCUGCUGCACCUGAUCAAGCCAAAGACUUGCAAAGAACUUUUGGUCAACCAGACAUUUCACGUGCACCAGGAACAUCAGAAUCUCCAUAUUCAGAUGUAUAUGAUGGUGCAAGGAAAGUUGAUCCUGAUUAUCAACUCAUUGACAAAACAAUUCCAAGCCAAGAACAAGUCUCUCAUCCAGAUCUUGCUUCCAAAACAAAUGAAGGACCAACAGAAACUCCUGGACCAGCCCCUCUCAUGGAUGUAUAUGACUCCAUAUCCACCCAAUAUAUACAGGACGGUGACUUAGACAAAGAUCAAGAUUCUGCUAAUUUUGCACAGAAGUAUUCGUCAAGUGAGCCAAAAGAAGAAGAGAGUACUGUUGCUGCACCUGAUCAAACCAAGGAAAUACAAACAACAGUUGGUCAACAGGACAUAUUGCCUGCUGUAAGCAAAGAAAAAGAUCCAUCUUCCGGCGUCCAAUAUGAUUCUAUGGAAGUUCAGGAAGUCGCUCCGAAGGAUCAACACAUCGAUGGGUCAAUUCCAAGCCAUGAACAAGCUCCUAAUGUUGAAGAACCCAUGACACAUAUAACAGGCCCAACAUCAGCCCUAGACACUCAACAUGGUAUGACAUCUGAUCAAGACUCGUACCAGUACCCAGAACUACCUUCCUCUGCUAAAUCAAGGAAAGAGACAGAUGUUGCUGAAGCUGAUAAAACCAAGGCAAAACAAAUGACCUUUGGUCAGCCUGUACCAGUCCCAAGUGACGCUACAAGAUCUGUAACUGAUCAAGGGGCACAGCAACCGCAGCGACCUGCAAAAAUUGAGUCACCACCAUUUUUGGAGACAAUAAAGAACUACGAGUACACCCAAAAUGUAUCUGAUGAGACCUUGGACAAAAACAAGUCAUCCGGAAAACCCUCUGCUGAUCAAGAAGUUAUGUCACCUAAAGUAGUCCCAGCAACAUUUCUAGACCCUCAACGUGUUACUGUCCCAGAUGAUGAGCAAAAAAUUGCUAAGCCAGAUUUAACUCGUUCUGCACAACCUCCUUUCUCUGCUGAGCCAACAAAAAGAAAGACUGUUGUUGGUGCAUCUGAUCAAGCCAAGGCUUCAGAAACAAUUGUUGAUCGAGAAGGCCAAGAACAUGGUUCUUUUAGUGAGGGGUCAACUACUGACUCACGUGAUGCCAUUACUGAUGAGAGCGCAACCACAUCUACAUCUGGUAGCGAAAAAGUCUUGGAUGCUUCUAUUUUGACAGCAACUCAUGAUGAUGCUCAUCCGCCAACUGUAAGAAAUUUGCCUGAGCAUGAGACACAGGCACCUGCAUCAACUCAAAGUGCAUCUGUCGAGGCCUCAGACAAAGCUAAAUCAACUGAUCAAGAAGACAUGAAACCUAUGGCAAGCCAGGCAUCAAUUCUGGACACUCAACGUGGUACCAAUGGUGAUAAGCCUAUAGCAAGAUUUUUGCAUGAUCAAGGGGCACAGUCACCUGAAUUAACUCAUCCACAGCAGCCUCCUGAAUCUCCACCUCACUCUGCAUCACAACAUGAUGCGCCCACUGAUGUGUUGGACAAAACCAAAAUGACUAAACUGACCUCAACUAACCAAGAAGGCAUGGCACCCACUGCUGGUUCAAGAUCAACUUUGGAAUCCCAACCUGAUGGUACCUUCGCAGCUGAAGUAGUCCAUGACGAGCAGAAAUCCACUCUGUCAGAUCAAGAGUCAGCUCGUGCCACACAGCCCCUUUCAUCUGUUGAACGAAGCAAAGAAGAUACUAAUGUUUCUGCAGCUGAUCAACCCGAGGUUCCACAAACAAUUUUUCAUCAAAAAGCCAGAUCAUCUGUACCAGUCACUAGAGAAGUACAAUUCCCGGAUAGUCUAGGUGCCAUAAGCAAAAUCCAGGAAGUCUCUCCUGAUAAUCAAUCAACUGAUUAUUCAGCAGUACAACCUGUUCCAACUAAAGAACAAGUACUCCAUGCACCACAGACAAGUCCUGACCAAGAAGGCAUAACACCUGCACAAGGAGAAAAGGAUUCUCCUAUCCCAGAUGCCCAACUUGUUCCACAUGCUCUACAAGACAAAGGUUCACCUCGCUCUACACAACCGCCUCCCCCUAUUGAAUCAAGUGAAAAGGAGUCUCAAAUUGCUGAAGAUGGUCAAACCGUUUUACUACAAUCAUCCGUUGUUCAAGAAUCCACACCAUCUUUAGCAGGCCCUAGAGAAUCAUCAAGUUCGGAUUCUCCGUAUCCAUCAGCGGAAAAUCAAGUAUCAACCCCUAAGGAGGUGGAACCACUUCCUCCUACGACAGGUAUGAUGGAUCGCGUCCAGCCUUCUUCGGAAGCAACACCUGGAGUAGUCGCUGGCAUCUCAGCGACACCUGGUGACAACCAACCGUCACCAGACAGGGAAAGCGUGGAAGUAGCUGAAGAAGGCACGGACCAACAAAAGGCUGACCAAGCUAGUGUGCAAUCACCACAGGACAACAUGGGCCAAGUUAAAGAAACCGAGGAGCAGGACACUGGAACAGGUGAGACUUACCAAGCUACUGUGCAAUCACCACAGGACAUCAAGGAGCAACGCGACGAAACAGAGCAGCAGGACACUAGGACUGGUGAGGCUUACCAAGAUGCACCAGCCCCAGAUGCUCCACAAGACAAAGGUUCACCUCGCUCUACACAACCGCCUCCCCCUGUUGAAUCCAGUCAAAAAGAGUCUAAAAUUGCCGAAGAUAGUCAAACCCUUUUACCGCAAGCAUCCGCUGUUCAAGAAUCCACACCAUCUUCAGCAGGCCCUAGAGAGUUCACACCAUAUCCAUCAGUGGAAGAUCAAGGAUCAGCCCCUAAGGCGGAGGAACCGCUUCCUCCUACGACAGGUAUGAUGGAUCGCGUCCAGCCUUCUUCGGAAGCAACACCUGGAGUAGUCGCUGGCAUCUCAGCGACACCUGGUGAUAACCAACCGUCACCAGCCAGGGAAAGCGCGGAAGUAGCUAAAGAAGGCACGGGCCAACAAAAGGCUGACCAAGCUAGUGUGCAAUCACCACAGGACAACAUGGGCCAAGUUAAAGAAACCGAGGAGCAGGAUACUGGAACAGGUGAGACUUACCAAGCUUCUGUGCAAUCACCACAGGACAUCAAGGAGCAACGCGACGAAACAGAGCAGCAGGACACUAGGACUGGUGAGGCUUACCAAGAUGCACCAGCCCCAGAUGCUCCACAAGACAAAGGUUCACCUCGCUCUACACAACCGCCUCCCCCUGUUGAAUCCAGUCAAAAAGAGUCUAAAAUUGCCGAAGAUAGUCAAACCCUUUUACCGCAAGCAUCCGCUGUUCAAGAAUCCACACCAUCUUCAGCAGGCCCUAGAGAGUCCACACCAUAUCCUUCAGUGGAAGAUCAAGGAUCAGCCCCUAAGGCGGAGGAACCGCUUCCUCCUACGACAGGUAUGAUGGAUCGCGUCCAGCCUUCUUCGGAAGCAACACCUGGAGUAGUCGCUGGCAUCUCAGCGACACCUGGUGAUAACCAACCGUCACCAGCCAGGGAAAGCGCGGAAGUAGCUAAAGAAGGCACGGACCAACAAAAGGCUGACCAAGCUAGUGUGCAAUCACCACAGGACAACAUGGACCAAGUUAAAGAAACCGAGGAGCAGGACACUGGAACAGGUGAGACUUACCAAGCUUCUGUGCAAUCACCACAGGACAUCAAGGAGCAACGUGACGAAACAGAGCAGCAGGACACUAGGACUGGUGAGGCUUACCAAGAUGCACCAGCCCCAGAUGCUCCACAAGACAAAGGUUUACCUCGCUCUACACAACCGCCUCCCCCUAUUGAAUCCAGUCAAAAGGAGUCCGAAAUUGCCGAAGAUAGUCAAACCCUUUUACCGCAAGCAUCCGCUGUUCAAGAAUCCACACCAUCUUCAGCAAGCCCUAGAGACUCAUUAAGUUUGGAUUCUUCGUAUUCUUUGAUGGAAAAUCGAGGAUCUGUUCCUAACGUGGGAAAACCGCUUCCUCCUUCGACAGAUAUGAUGGAUCGUGUUCAGCCUUCAUUGGGACCUUCUCUUGAGGUUUCAAGCGACGAGAAAACCACUGUCCCUCUGGAUGGUCUGGCGAACAACCUAUCAAAUGUCAGUCCCUCUGUCACAGCUAGCCAAGUACUUGGUCGAUCUGAAAAUGGUUCUGGUACUGGAGCGCUCUCUGGAGAAACGGUACCAUCAAAUUCUCAAGAAAAUUCUGAAGGGACGCCAAGCGAAGAAAUAUCAAAGCAGCAACCGCAAACUAACAUGUCCAGUACAAAAUUAUCUAAAGAUGACAAUAAAGAAGCCGAUGGCUCAGCCAAUGACACCAAACCUGGAGACAGUGAAGAUAAUCCAUCUCGAUGAAUUUUGCAACCCGUCAACCUACCCAAGAUUCUGGAGUGCACUAUUAAAUAAAUAUUUAUCAACUGAAACCAAAACUGGGAGAAGCUUCAUUGGAAGGAACAGAGGCACAGAGCAGCCAGUGAGACACAGAACUGCACCAGUAGUUUCAGUUCCAGGAUCAGCUUGCCCACAGGGAAGUAGUAGUACAUCUGAUUGACAUAAUACACAUAUUUAUAAGUUGGUAAUUAGGGUGGUUGUUCUGGUGUCCAUCAUGGUUAAGCUAAUUAAAUACUGUAGCUGUUCUUCUUGUCAGCUGUCAACUGCUUCAGUAAGUACACACUGCUCUGCGUGCCCAAAAGACCUUAUCAUUCAGCUGAUCAUCCAGCCAUUGUUGACGGCGCAAGCUUGAGCCUCUCGUUGUACUCCUGCAUCUCCCUCUUGUACCUCUCCUUGUCCUCUGCACUGUGCCUGUAGUAAACCUGGCAACAAUGGCGAUGCAUCAAGAUUCAGGAGUUGAGUGAUUGAGGAUGUGUUUA